AAUAAAUCCAUAUUUAAAGUAAAGCUAAAUGUUAAUUAUAAGAAUUUGGGUGAUGUUUAUUA
This 62-nucleotide transfer RNA is filed under the name Symphylella sp. YG-2006. RNAcentral's name for it is "tRNA-Asn". The record is from RNAcentral. Lineage: Eukaryota; Metazoa; Arthropoda; Symphyla; Scolopendrellidae.